This 73-nucleotide transfer RNA is filed under the name Loxodonta africana (African savanna elephant). It matches the Rfam family "tRNA". From Rfam's summary of the family: Transfer RNA (tRNA) molecules are approximately 80 nucleotides in length. The record is from Rfam by way of RNAcentral. Lineage: Eukaryota; Metazoa; Chordata; Mammalia; Proboscidea; Elephantidae.
CCCUGGGUGGCACAAAUGUUUAAGCAUUUGGUUACUAACCAAAAGGUUGAUGGUUUGAACCCAUCCAUAGGAG